GGUUCUAUAGUUUAAUAAAAACUUUAAAUUGCAAGUUUAAUAAUAGUAAGAAAUCUUAGGACUU
This 64-nucleotide transfer RNA is filed under the name Stictocephala bisonia. RNAcentral's name for it is "tRNA-Cys". The record is from RNAcentral. Lineage: Eukaryota; Metazoa; Arthropoda; Insecta; Hemiptera; Membracidae.